GUGGAUUCUCAAGCGUGAGGUAAGAGCAUUUGGUGGAUGCCUUGGCAUGUACAGGCGAUGAAGGACGUGGCACGCUGCGAUAAGCGUCGGGGAGUUGUGAGCAAACUUUGAUCCGGCGAUUUCCGGAGGAAAAGACAUCAACCGAGAUUCCGUUAGUAGUGGCGAGCGAACGCGGACCAGGCCAGUGCCUCAUCUUCAACUAGCAGAACACUUUGGAAAGAGUGGCCAUAGCGGGUGACAGCCCCGUAUGCGAAAGUGAUGGAUGAGGACUCGAGUAGGGCGGGACACGUGAAAUCCUGUCUGAACAUGGGGGGACCACCCUCCAAGCCUAAAUACUCGUACAUGACCGAUAGCGAACAAGUACCGUGAGGGAAAGGUGAAAAGCACCCCGAUGAGGGGAGUGAAACAGUACCUGAAACCGAAUGCUUACAAGCAGUUGGAGCCUCUUUAGGGGGUGACAGCGUACCUCUUGCAUAAUGGGUCAGUGACUUAAUGUAUCAUGCGAGCUUAAGCCGUUAGGUGUAGGCGCAGCGAAAGCGAGUCUGAAUAGGGCGACUGAGUAUGAUGUAUUAGACCCGAAACCCGGCGAUCUAGGCAUGACCAGGUUGAAGGUGCGGUAACACGCACUGGAGGACCGAACCGUUGAAUGUUGAAAAAUUCUCGGAUGAGUUGUGUUUAGGGGUGAAAGGCCAAUCAAGCCGGGAAAUAGCUGGUUCUCCGCGAAAUCUAUUGAGGUAGAGCG
This 742-nucleotide ribosomal RNA is filed under the name Pedobacter sp. RNAcentral's name for it is "partial 23S ribosomal RNA". It matches the Rfam family "Bacterial large subunit ribosomal RNA", at positions 1 to 881 of the family's 2925-position model. Lineage: Bacteria; Pseudomonadati; Bacteroidota; Sphingobacteriia; Sphingobacteriales; Sphingobacteriaceae. The record is from RNAcentral.